RNAcentral lists this ribosomal RNA (2931 nucleotides) under Escherichia coli. RNAcentral's name for it is "23S ribosomal RNA". It matches the Rfam family "Bacterial large subunit ribosomal RNA". The record is from RNAcentral. Lineage: Bacteria; Pseudomonadati; Pseudomonadota; Gammaproteobacteria; Enterobacterales; Enterobacteriaceae.
GGGUUGUGAGGUUAAGCGACUAAGCGUACACGGUGGAUGCCCUGGCAGUCAGAGGCGAUGAAGGACGUGCUAAUCUGCGAUAAGCGUCGGUAAGGUGAUAUGAACCGUUAUAACCGGCGAUUUCCGAAUGGGGAAACCCAGUGUGAUUCGUCACACUAUCAUUAACUGAAUCCAUAGGUUAAUGAGGCGAACCGGGGAACUGAAACAUCUAAGUACCCCGAGGAAAAGAAAUCAACCGAGAUUCCCCCAGUAGCGGCGAGCGAACGGGGAGCAGCCCAGAGCCUGAAUCAGUGUGUGUGUUAGUGGAAGCGUCUGGAAAGGCGCGCGAUACAGGGUGACAGCCCCGUACACAAAAAUGCACAUACUGUGAGCUCGAUGAGUAGGGCGGGACACGUGGUAUCCUGUCUGAAUAUGGGGGGACCAUCCUCCAAGGCUAAAUACUCCUGACUGACCGAUAGUGAACCAGUACCGUGAGGGAAAGGCGAAAAGAACCCCGGCGAGGGGAGUGAAAAAGAACCUGAAACCGUGUACGUACAAGCAGUGGGAGCACGCUUCGGCGUGUGACUGCGUACCUUUUGUAUAAUGGGUCAGCGACUUAUAUUCUGUAGCAAGGUUAACCGAAUAGGGGAGCCGAAGGGAAACCGAGUCUUAACUGGGCGUUAAGUUGCAGGGUAUAGACCCGAAACCCGGUGAUCUAGCCAUGGGCAGGUUGAAGGUUGGGUAACACUAACUGGAGGACCGAACCGACUAAUGUUGAAAAAUUAGCGGAUGACUUGUGGCUGGGGGUGAAAGGCCAAUCAAACCGGGAGAUAGCUGGUUCUCCCCGAAAGCUAUUUAGGUAGCGCCUCGUGAAUUCAUCUCCGGGGGUAGAGCACUGUUUCGGCAAGGGGGUCAUCCCGACUUACCAACCCGAUGCAAACUGCGAAUACCGGAGAAUGUUAUCACGGGAGACACACGGCGGGUGCUAACGUCCGUCGUGAAGAGGGAAACAACCCAGACCGCCAGCUAAGGUCCCAAAGUCAUGGUUAAGUGGGAAACGAUGUGGGAAGGCCCAGACAGCCAGGAUGUUGGCUUAGAAGCAGCCAUCAUUUAAAGAAAGCGUAAUAGCUCACUGGUCGAGUCGGCCUGCGCGGAAGAUGUAACGGGGCUAAACCAUGCACCGAAGCUGCGGCAGCGACACUAUGUGUUGUUGGGUAGGGGAGCGUUCUGUAAGCCUGUGAAGGUGUGCUGUGAGGCAUGCUGGAGGUAUCAGAAGUGCGAAUGCUGACAUAAGUAACGAUAAAGCGGGUGAAAAGCCCGCUCGCCGGAAGACCAAGGGUUCCUGUCCAACGUUAAUCGGGGCAGGGUGAGUCGACCCCUAAGGCGAGGCCGAAAGGCGUAGUCGAUGGGAAACAGGUUAAUAUUCCUGUACUUGGUGUUACUGCGAAGGGGGGACGGAGAAGGCUAUGUUGGCCGGGCGACGGUUGUCCCGGUUUAAGCGUGUAGGCUGGUUUUCCAGGCAAAUCCGGAAAACUAAGGCUGAGGCGUGAUGACGAGGCACUACGGUGCUGAAGCAACAAAUGCCCUGCUUCCAGGAAAAGCCUCUAAGCAUCAGGUAACAUCAAAUCGUACCCCAAACCGACACAGGUGGUCAGGUAGAGAAUACCAAGGCGCUUGAGAGAACUCGGGUGAAGGAACUAGGCAAAAUGGUGCCGUAACUUCGGGAGAAGGCACGCUGAUAUGUAGGUGAAGCGACUUGCUCGUGGAGCUGAAAUCAGUCGAAGAUACCAGCUGGCUGCAACUGUUUAUUAAAAACACAGCACUGUGCAAACACGAAAGUGGACGUAUACGGUGUGACGCCUGCCCGGUGCCGGAAGGUUAAUUGAUGGGGUUAGCGGUAACGCGAAGCUCUUGAUCGAAGCCCCGGUAAACGGCGGCCGUAACUAUAACGGUCCUAAGGUAGCGAAAUUCCUUGUCGGGUAAGUUCCGACCUGCACGAAUGGCGUAAUGAUGGCCAGGCUGUCUCCACCCGAGACUCAGUGAAAUUGAACUCGCUGUGAAGAUGCAGUGUACCCGCGGCAAGACGGAAAGACCCCGUGAACCUUUACUAUAGCUUGACACUGAACAUUGAGCCUUGAUGUGUAGGAUAGGUGGGAGGCUUUGAAGUGUGGACGCCAGUCUGCAUGGAGCCGACCUUGAAAUACCACCCUUUAAUGUUUGAUGUUCUAACGUUGACCCGUGAUCCGGGUUGCGGACAGUGUCUGGUGGGUAGUUUGACUGGGGCGGUCUCCUCCUAAAGAGUAACGGAGGAGCACGAAGGUUGGCUAAUCCUGGUCGGACAUCAGGAGGUUAGUGCAAUGGCAUAAGCCAGCUUGACUGCGAGCGUGACGGCGCGAGCAGGUGCGAAAGCAGGUCAUAGUGAUCCGGUGGUUCUGAAUGGAAGGGCCAUCGCUCAACGGAUAAAAGGUACUCCGGGGAUAACAGGCUGAUACCGCCCAAGAGUUCAUAUCGACGGCGGUGUUUGGCACCUCGAUGUCGGCUCAUCACAUCCUGGGGCUGAAGUAGGUCCCAAGGGUAUGGCUGUUCGCCAUUUAAAGUGGUACGCGAGCUGGGUUUAGAACGUCGUGAGACAGUUCGGUCCCUAUCUGCCGUGGGCGCUGGAGAACUGAGGGGGGCUGCUCCUAGUACGAGAGGACCGGAGUGGACGCAUCACUGGUGUUCGGGUUGUCAUGCCAAUGGCACUGCCCGGUAGCUAAAUGCGGAAGAGAUAAGUGCUGAAAGCAUCUAAGCACGAAACUUGCCCCGAGAUGAGUUCUCCCUGACUCCCUGAGAGUCCUGAAGGAACGUUGAAGACGACGACGUUGAUAGGCCGGGUGUGUAAGCGCAGCGAUGCGUUGAGCUAACCGGUACUAAUGAACCGUGAGGCUUAACCUUACAACGCCGAAGGUGUUU